This 500-nucleotide ribosomal RNA is filed under the name uncultured bacterium. Its description in RNAcentral is "bacterial SSU rRNA". It matches the Rfam family "Bacterial small subunit ribosomal RNA", at positions 899 to 1397 of the family's 1533-position model. The record is from RNAcentral.
ACUCAAAGGAAUAGACGGGGACCCGCACAAGCAGCGGAGCAUGUGGUUUAAUUCGAAGCAACGCGAAGAACCUUACCAGGUCUUGACAUCCCGAUGCCAGGUGUAGAGAUACACCGUCUCUUCGGAGCAUUGGAGACAGGUGGUGCAUGGUUGUCGUCAGCUCGUGUCGUGAGAUGUUGGGUUAAGUCCCGCAACGAGCGCAACCCCUAUUUUUAGUUGCCAUUACGUAGAGGUGGGCACUCUAAAGAGACUGCCGUGGAUAACACGGAGGAAGGUGGGGACGACGUCAAAUCAUCAUGCCCCUUAUGGCCUGGGCUACACACGUGCUACAAUGGCCGGAAACAAAGGGCAGCGAAGCCGUAAGGUGGAGCGAAUCUCAUAAACCCGGUCUCAGUUCGGAUUGUGGGCUGCAACUCGCCCACAUGAAGUCGGAGUUGCUAGUAAUCGCGAAUCAGCACGUCGCGGUGAAUGCGUUCCCGGGUCUUGUACACACCGCCCGU